CUUACCAUGCAGUCGAACGAUGAUGCCCAGCUUGCUGGGCGGAUUAGUGGCGAACGGGUGAGUAAUACGUGAGUAACCUGCCCUUGACUCUGGGAUAAGCCUGGGAAACUGGGUCUAAUACUGGAUACUACCUCUUACCGCAUGGUGGGUGGUGGAAAGGGUUUUACUGGUUUUGGAUGGGCUCACGGCCUAUCAGCUUGUUGGUGGGGUAAUGGCUCACCAAGGCGACGACGGGUAGCCGGCCUGAGAGGGUGACCGGCCACACUGGGACUGAGACACGGCCCAGACUCCUACGGGAGGCAGCAGUGGGGAAUAUUGCACAAUGGGCGGAAGCCUGAUGCAGCGACGCCGCGUGAGGGAUGACGGCCUUCGGGUUGUAAACCUCUUUCAGUAGGGAAGAAGCGAGAGUGACGGUACCUGCAGAAGAAGCGCCGGCUAACUACGUGCCAGCAGCCGCGGUAAUACGUAGGGCGCAAGCGUUGUCCGGAAUUAUUGGGCGUAAAGAGCUCGUAGGCGGUUUGUCGCGUCUGCUGUGAAAGCCCGGGGCUCAACCCCGGGUCUGCAGUGGGUACGGGCAGACUAGAGUGCAGUAGGGGAGACUGGAAUUCCUGGUGUAGCGGUGAAAUGCGCAGAUAUCAGGAGGAACACCGAUGGCGAAGGCAGGUCUCUGGGCUGUUACUGACGCUGAGGAGCGAAAGCAUGGGGAGCGAACAGGAUUAGAUACCCUGGUAGUCCAUGCCGUAAACGUUGGGCACUAGGUGUGGGGGACAUUCCACGUUUUCCGCGCCGUAGCUAACGCAUUAAGUGCCCCGCCUGGGGAGUACGGCCGCAAGGCUAAAACUCAAAGGAAUUGACGGGGGCCCGCACAAGCGGCGGAGCAUGCGGAUUAAUUCGAUGCAACGCGAAGAACCUUACCAAGGCUUGACAUUCACCGGACCGCCCCAGAGAUGGGGUUUCCCUUCGGGGCUGGUGGACAGGUGGUGCAUGGUUGUCGUCAGCUCGUGUCGUGAGAUGUUGGGUUAAGUCCCGCAACGAGCGCAACCCUCGUUCUAUGUUGCCAGCACGUGAUGGUGGGGACUCAUAGGAGACUGCCGGGGUCAACUCGGAGGAAGGUGGGGAUGACGUCAAAUCAUCAUGCCCCUUAUGUCUUGGGCUUCACGCAUGCUACAAUGGCCGGUACAAAGGGUUGCGAUACUGUGAGGUGGAGCUAAUCCCAAAAAGCCGGUCUCAGUUCGGAUUGAGGUCUGCAACUCGACCUCAUGAAGUCGGAGUCGCUAGUAAUCGCAGAUCAGCAACGCUGCGGUGAAUACGUUCCCGGGCCUUGUACACACCGCCCGUCAAGUCACGAAAGUUGGUAACACCCGAAGCCGGUGGCCUAACCCCUUGUGGGAGGAGCCGU
RNAcentral lists this ribosomal RNA (1399 nucleotides) under Kocuria sp. Its description in RNAcentral is "bacterial SSU rRNA". It matches the Rfam family "Bacterial small subunit ribosomal RNA". Lineage: Bacteria; Bacillati; Actinomycetota; Actinomycetes; Micrococcales; Micrococcaceae. The record is from RNAcentral.